This is an RNA transcript of Haliaeetus leucocephalus (bald eagle), 3938 nucleotides long. It is a transcript of the gene named nuclear factor of kappa light polypeptide gene enhancer in B-cells 1, with no coding region annotated. Lineage: Eukaryota; Metazoa; Chordata; Aves; Accipitriformes; Accipitridae. The transcript has 26 exons. The record is from RefSeq and is a predicted model, not a curated record.
CCCCGGGACUUAAAAUGGCAGGAGAAGAUUCCUAUAUUAUGGGAGUGUCUGAUCCUCAGAUGUUUGCAAUGGAUCAGUUCAUGGGAAUGAAUGCAUUAUUUAAUAAUACAAAUUACAUCACUUCAGACUUACCACUACGAACAGCAGAUGGACCAUAUCUUCAAAUCAUAGAACAGCCAAAACAGAGGGGGUUUCGUUUCCGAUACGUAUGCGAAGGGCCUUCACAUGGUGGACUUCCUGGUGCUUCUAGUGAAAAGAACAAAAAAUCAUACCCUCAGGUCAAAAUCUGCAAUUAUGUUGGACCUGCAAAAGUAAUCGUCCAGUUAGUUACUAAUGGGAAAUAUGUCCACUUACAUGCUCACAGCUUGGUGGGUAAAUUUUGUGAAGAUGGAGUAUGCACAGUUAAUGCAGGACCUAAAGAUAUGGUUGUAGGGUUUGCAAAUCUUGGAAUACUUCAUGUCACAAAGAAGAAAGUGUUUGAAACUCUGGAAACACGCAUGAUAGAUGCUUGUAAAAAAGGAUACAACCCAGGACUCCUGGUGCAUCCUGAACUUGGCUAUCUGCAGGCAGAAGGAUGUGGAGACAGACAGCUAACUGAACGAGAAAGAGAAAUUAUUCGUCAGGCAGCAGUACAGCAGACUAAAGAAAUGGAUCUCAGUGUGGUGCGUCUUAUGUUUACAGCCUUUCUUCCUGAUAGUAAUGGUAGUUUCACACGGAAGCUUGAUCCUGUUAUAUCAGAUGCAAUAUAUGACAGCAAAGCUCCCAAUGCCUCCAACUUAAAAAUCGUAAGAAUGGACAGAACGGCAGGGUGUGUAACAGGAGGGGAAGAGAUUUACCUUCUCUGUGACAAGGUUCAGAAAGAUGAUAUUCAAAUACGUUUUUAUGAAGAGGAUGAGAAUGGUGGUAUGUGGGAAGGCUUUGGAGACUUUUCUCCUACAGAUGUACAUAGACAGUUCGCUAUUGUGUUCAAAACACCCAAGUAUAGAGAUGUCAAUAUUACAAAGCCAGCAUCUGUAUUUGUACAACUGCGUCGGAAAUCUGAUCUAGAAACGAGCGAACCAAAGCCUUUUCUCUACUAUCCGGAAAUCAAAGAUAAAGAAGAAGUGCAAAGGAAACGGCAGAAGCUCAUGCCAAACUUCUCUGAUGGCUAUGGUGGAGGCAGUGGCGCAGGAGGCGGUGGCAUGUAUGGAGGGGGAGGUGGCGGUGCUGGCUCUGGGUUCAGUUACCCUUCAUAUGGAUACUCUGCUUUUGGAGGGAUGCAUUUCCACCCUGGCACAACAAAGUCCAAUGCUGGAAUGAAGCAUGGACUGUCAAAUAGCACAGCUGAACAAGAUGAGAAGAGCUCUGAUAAGCAAAGCGACAAAUGGGACGUGAAACAUGAUGUGAAAGUGGAAACUGUGGAGAGGACUGAGUGCAGAACCUCUGCUGAUAAUGAGGAGGAGGAUGCUGCUUCUUCCUGUAAAACUCAAGUAGAUGAAGUAGAUUGCAGGUGGCAGGGUGGUCUGUUCCUGGAGAAGGCCAUGCAGCUUGCCAAGCGUCACUGCAAUGCUCUCUUUGAUUAUGCUGUAACUGGAGAUGUGAAGAUGCUGUUGGCUGUUCAGCGCCAUCUCACUGUUGUCCAGGAUGAUAAUGGAGACAAUGUCCUUCAUUUAGCAAUUAUCCACCUUCACACUGAGCUGGUGAAAAACCUCUUGGAAGUGAUGCCUGAUCUGAAUUAUAAUGACAUCAUUAACAUGAGAAACGACCUUUAUCAGACCCCUUUGCACCUGGCAGUAAUCACAAAGCAGGCAGAGGUGGUGGAAGACUUGCUGAAGGCUGGAGCAGAUGUUAGCCUUCUGGAUCGCCAUGGUAAUUCUGUCUUGCAUUUAGCUGCUACUGAAGGAGAUGAAAAGAUUUUGCGUUUGCUCCUCAAGCAUAAGAGGAUAUCUCCAAUGGUCGACCUUUCCAAUGGUGAAGGUCUCAGUGCAAUUCACAUGGUGGUGAUAGCAAAUAGCAUGGCCUGCCUCAAACAGCUGAUUGCUGCUGGAGUUAACGUCAAUGCUCAGGAACAGAAAUCUGGACGAACUGCAUUGCAUUUAGCUGUUGAACAAGAGAACAUCCCUUUGGUGGGCUGCCUUUUGCUUGAGGGUGAUGCAGAUGUGGACAGCACUACAUAUGAUGGGACAACUCCUCUUCACAUAGCAGCUGGAAGGGGCUCUACAAAAUUGGCAGCAGUUCUCAAAGCAGCAGGUGCAAAUCCUCAUGUUGAGAACUUUGAGCCAUUGUUUGAUCUAGAUGAUGUGAAAGAUGAUGAAGAUGACGAUGAAGGGAUUGUGCCUGGAACGACACCACUGGAUAUGGCAGCUAGCUGUGAGGUGUAUGACAUAUUAAACGGCAAACCCUACGAGUCAGCAGUGGUUUCGGAGGACUUACUGACACAAGGACAUUUGAGAGAGCUGAAUGAAAGUUCCAAGAUGCAGCUUUACAAACUAUUGGAAUUGCCCGAUCCAAAGAAAAACUGGUCCACUCUAGCACAAAAACUGGGUCUUGGCAUACUUAAUAAUGCCUUCAGGCUGAGCCCUUCCCCAUCGAAAACUCUGCUAGAUAACUAUGAGGUUUCUGGUGGUACAGUUCAAGAGUUGAUUGCUGCUUUGAGACAGAUGGAUCACACAGAAGCCAUUGAAAUCAUACAGAAAGCACUAGCCAUCUCACAAAGCCCACCUCACUUGGAGGACAAUACCGCAAAAGCUUUUCCAUUGUCAUCACCACCCACCUUUGCAAAUGGAGAGACAGGUGACCUUUAUAACAGCAAAUUUCAGGACAACGAAAGCAUGUGUGACAGUGGUGUGGAGACCUCCCUCCGCAAACUGAGCUUUACUUAUUCAGACUCUCUGAACAGCAAGUCAUCAGCAACACUUAGCAAAAUGACCCUGGGCUAUGGACAUGAAAGUUCAGUGCAAAGCAAUUAUAUAGCCAACUAGUAAUAUUCAAUAAGCAAUAUGCAGUUACAGGAACGAACGUGACAUUUAAAAUUACAUCUGUGUGAUCCUGGCCAGAGGGAAGUGAAUUUACAACCAAAAGUGCGCUGGAGGAACCACAUAUGAACCUGAACCAAUGGCAACUUCAGCACAUGACUCCUAGCCAUUGCUUCCUUCCUCAAAUACAUUUAAAUUUUAUUCAUUUACAAGCUAUAUACAAUAACCAGGGCUCUACUGCUGCAUUAGUACACAGGACUGGACACUGUGAAUGACUGACUGAGCUUCUCUGGUUUGCGAGGAUGUCCUUUUAUAUAUGAAAGUUGCUCUUUGUUAAUGUAUAAUACCAACUCACUUAAUAAAAAGAGGUCUCUUCUCAUAAUUAUGGCAGCAGAGAAUAAUUUACCAACUGAAACCAACUAUUUAGCAUCUCAGCAAAGCUCUGAUGAGACAGUUCUUUGGGCUGUCUAGAAACUCCUCUAAUAACUGUGUUCCUGAGCAGUAUUUCUUCCUGUUGCAUGUUAAAUUGAGAGGGAAACCACCUGAGGGCUGGCUCACACCAUUGCUCCUUUACAGUUGUUGGGUAAGUGAGCUGAAGCCUGCAGUGCUGAAUGCUUAAAUCCUGGUAUAUCACAUGCUAGUUGGUAUGACAGAAUCACAGGGCCAGCAUGCCAGAGUAUUACUAUCUAGCUAGCUUACUUACUACAGGCAAAGGAGGACUGCUACAACAAGACAAGAGAGAUAAGCUACAAUGCUGGCAAAAGCCUGGUGAUCACGAUGUUUGCAAAGAGGUAUAAGAGGACAGCAUUUAAGGUUUUGAUUUUUCACCACCAUGGCAAAGGACCAAAACUUUCAGCUCCUGCAUCUGACAAUGGCACCCUUCCCCAUGAGGCCACCUGCUCAACAGACAGCACUCAUUCUCAUUUAGAGCUCCUGUUCUGGAUUACCCAACUCCUCACUGGGCCAUAGAGCCUGGCUCAAUCC